Long non-coding RNA from Ruditapes philippinarum (Manila clam), 1277 nucleotides. RefSeq lists it as uncharacterized. The transcript has 2 exons. Lineage: Eukaryota; Metazoa; Mollusca; Bivalvia; Venerida; Veneridae. The record is from RefSeq and is a predicted model, not a curated record.
UCAGUGAAUAUGCGCCCAUUUCAAUUUUCCGAUAACUAAUACUACAACGUGGCAUUUCAAGUGAGCGACUAGGUUCGACAAGAGUAGAUACACGUUGUCAACAAAAAGUUUCCAAUUAUUCCAAUCCUCGUACAAUAAAAACAAUUCAGGUGGGAGAAGUUGAUGAAUAAAAAGAUGUAAUAUUACAGAUCAGACUUCAGUUGGAAGAAUACCGCUCCGUAACUUGUUUAAACAGUUUUAGUGUUAGGACGGAAUUUGUAAAUAUCAAAAUGGCGAAAACGUGGUGUGUUAUUGCAGUGUGCAUCUCCAUCAGCUGUAUAAUAAAAUUCAACGACGGCGCAGUAGCUGCUGGGUUUAAAUAUUGCCUUUAUGAAUGUGCAAACUGUAUUGAAUUCUGGGGUGACGAUCUGUAUGAUGGUGAAAAAUGUGCCACCUGUUGUCGCUAUAGCAAUGGUAUAAAAGUAGAUCCACAAUGCAAAGUUUGGGUUAUAAAUAAAAGAAGUUACGCAAAGAAAGAUAGAGAAUAUGUGAACGGUAUUAUAUUCCAACGAAAACGAGCUAGCAGCAGAUAUAUAAGAAAACGUUGGGAUGAAAAUGUGAACUACAAUUCAAUAUUUGGCAGCGAAACAAUGCCAAGCUAUUGUUUUGAAUGAUCAAUUGGUUAUUCCAACAGAUUAUUUCCUUAAAACACAUCUUUAUACUUCACUUACUGGCAGAUAUGAAUUAAGAAUUAGUCUAAUGAAAAAGUAAUAGUAGACAUUCAAACAUGUGAUGCAUUAGUUUCAAGAUAUAAUUGGAGUGUCAUGUAUUGUAGAAAUGAGUUGUGAAGUUUUCACACUGCUGCCACCUGUAGUAAAUGAACAUAAACAUUCCAUGAACACAAACAGUCAUAUCACUGAAAAUAAUAUCAAGGAAAUGAUUGUGAAGCAAAAUACUAAUGAUGUACAAGCACGUUAAAACCAAUGAAAAAUUAAUACCCGGACAGAUUCCAUUGAAAUAAAUGUUUGUAUGUUGUAUUUAUAUAUAAUUUAAUGGACAAACAAGAUUUUAACGCUGUGAGUAGCAUGGACUUUCAAUUUAGUCACAAUAAUUGGAUGUAACAACGGAAAGAAUGAACUAUUGAUGGCCUUUUAUAUCUUGAUGUCUUUGAUAAAAGUAUUUUAAUGAAGGCAUGCAAGAGUCGUGCUUGUUACAAUUGAAUCUGUUUUUAGAUUUCCAUAAACUAAGAAUUAUCUCGUUUAAUAUAAUAUAUUUAAAAAAUAAAUUGUUACUUUUUA